UUGACUCUCUAAGAUUCUUGGAAUGUUUUAUAAUUUGGAAUGGAGGAAGAUUAACAUGUUAGAGAAGUGAUAAAUUGAUAAUAUUAUUCAGAGACGGAAUACAUGCAUGCAAUUCUUAAUUCUUAUUUUUUUUUCUUUUUUGAGUUCACUUUGGCACUCAUGGCCUGUCAUUAACAAACAUACACUACCGGAUAGCAGGGGUUUGUCGUGUGCCUGGCGCACACGACAAAGCCCAGAUUACACACGGCGAAGGCUUUGCCGUGUGUUGCUCACGGCAAAGAACACACGGCAAACUCGUUCACGGUGAACUCUAUUUUUACUCACGGCCAAAUUAUGGGCACACGGCGAAACUUUGCCGUGAGUCAAUCUUGACACACGGCAAAGAAAAGAUAACGAACGGCGGGAGACGGCCUAACGGCAGGGUUUGCCGUGUGUCACCAUGUAGACAUGUGCUAGGGUUGGGCACACGGCAAACCCCAACGAAAAAAAUCUAAAGAUUUCUUUGCUCUUAGCCACUGCACCACACUAUGACUUGUGUUUAUAUUGUAUUUCGGUUGCUCAAAUAUUAUAUCAAAUUAUGUGUAAAUUGAUAAUUUGAGGUCCUAAAUGAUUUCAAAUCAAAAAGUUGUCAACUACAAAGUUUCAUAACUUUUUGGGAUAUACAAUUUUCAUUUAGGGAGUUUCUCCAUCCGAGGUCGUUUACAAAAUUUGAAUUUCAAAUUUGAGAAAUUCAAACGUAGUUUUUGCAUGACAAGAUGAUUCCAAAAUAAAAAGUUGUCAACUACAAAGUUUCAUAACUUUUUGAGAUCUACAAAGUUUACUAGAGUUUUUCCAUCCGAGGUUAUUUUUA
Molecule: long non-coding RNA, 850 nt
Filed under: Sorghum bicolor (sorghum)
Lineage: Eukaryota; Viridiplantae; Streptophyta; Magnoliopsida; Poales; Poaceae
Description: long non-coding RNA (SBIC_LNC000589)
Source: RNAcentral